Molecule: ribosomal RNA, 253 nt
Filed under: uncultured bacterium
Lineage: Bacteria
Description: partial 16S ribosomal RNA
Rfam family: Bacterial small subunit ribosomal RNA
Source: RNAcentral
UACGUAGGGUGCAAGCGUUGUCCGGAAUUAUUGGGAGUAAAGAGCUUGUAGGCGGUUUGUCGCGUCUGCUGUGAAAUUUCGGGGCUCAACCCCGAACUUGCAGUGGGUACGGGCAGACUAGAGUGUGGUAGGGGAGACUGGAAUUCCUGGUGUAGCGGUGAAAUGCGCAGAUAUCAGGAGGAACACCGAUGGCGAAGGCAGGUCUCUGGGCCAUAACUGACGCUGAGAAGCGAAAGCAUGGGGAGCGAACAGG